RNAcentral lists this long non-coding RNA (1047 nucleotides) under Homo sapiens (human). Its description in RNAcentral is "HSALNT0370413". Lineage: Eukaryota; Metazoa; Chordata; Mammalia; Primates; Hominidae. The record is from RNAcentral.
GUGAAGGACAACAUUUUUGUGCGCAAAAUAAAACAUUUUAAUGCGCUACAAUCCAUUACACAUAUAGCCCUCCAUUUCCUUUCAGUAAUUAUUCAUUAGAAAACAUUUAACGUCACUGUGGAUUUCACACUAGGCAGUCCGGACACAAAGAACAAGAGAUGGCCCAUUUAUAAGGGGCUGGGGCGUUCUUUUCUAAUCUGAGAAACUCCAAGGAGGUGGGGCCCGCGAGACACAACAGGCAGGCUAAAUUGUGCGGUUAACGGUCAAAGCCCCCCUGCCUACUUUGACACUCAUUUAAAGAUGACAGGGAACAAUAGAGAUUUGUUCUGUGCAACCCUUUCUUGUUAUGCCGGCGACAUCAGCUCCGCACAUGAAACUGCCCGAUAUUUCAUUCCACCUGCCACCUCCCUCCCGCCUCGGUCGACUCUCUCCUCUGCUACUUUGCUUGUCCCCACUUUAACACAAAGAGACAGAGACAAGAGAUUCGACUGUGUUAGCCAGGAUGGUCUCGAUCUCCUGACUUCGUGAUCUGCCCGCCUCAGCCUCCCAAAGUGCUGGGAUUACAGGCUUGAGCCACUGUGCCUGGCUUCAGGCUGGGAUUUUUAUAGCUUAUUAUGGCAAGGGAGGAGACGGAGAGUAAAAGAAGAAGGAAGAGCAUACACAGUCACCCCUUGUGUGACAAAUAUGCAAGAAAUAAAGAUAAAUGUGUACAAUUCUUACAAUUUUACUUUUCUGAAUUUUGCUAUUGCACUGAAUGAUUUGUGAUAAGACAGAUGGGGAUGAAAAAUAUACUUAUUAAAUAAACAGCUAUUAAAAGCCCCUAAAACUCUUUAAAAUGGGAUCUUUUUGUUUGAUUACAGAAGAAUUACACCUUUAUUUUAGACAUUCUGGAAAAAAUGCAACAAAGAGAAUAAAAAUCAUUCAUAAUCCCACUGCUCAGAAAUUACCACUGCUGGCCAGGCGUGGUGGCUAACGCCUGAAUCCCAGCAAUUUGGGGGCUGAGGCGGGCAGAUCACCUGAGGUCAGGAGUUUUGAGAGACCAGCCUG